Molecule: ribosomal RNA, 200 nt
Filed under: uncultured bacterium
Lineage: Bacteria
Description: partial 16S ribosomal RNA
Rfam family: Bacterial small subunit ribosomal RNA
Source: RNAcentral
AGCGAACGCUGGCGGCAGGCUUAACACAUGCAAGUCGAGCGGGCGUAGCAAUACGUCAGCGGCAGACGGGUGAGUAACGCGUGGGAACAUACCUUUUGGUUCGGAACAACCCAGGGAAACUUGGGCUAAUACCGGAUAAGCCCUUACGGGGAAAGAUUUAUCGCCGAAAGAUUGGCCCGCGUCUGAUUAGCUAGUUGGUG